This 889-nucleotide small RNA is filed under the name Pan troglodytes (chimpanzee). Its description in RNAcentral is "retained intron". Lineage: Eukaryota; Metazoa; Chordata; Mammalia; Primates; Hominidae. The record is from RNAcentral.
CGGGCGCCGGGGGCCGGCUGGCGCGGGGGCUCCUACCCUGCCCGGCCUGGCGAUGGAGUUUCCGGACCUCGGCGCUCACUGUUCGGAGCCGAGCUGUCAGCGCUUGGAUUUUCUGCCGCUUAAGUGUGAUGCCUGCUCAGGCAUCUUCUGCGCAGACCAUGUGGCCUACGCCCAGCAUCACUGUGGAUCUGCUUACCAAAAGAUCUUCACCAAUAAGUGUGAGCGCGCUGGCUGCCGGCAGCGAGAAAUGAUGAAACUGACCUGUGAACGCUGUAGCCGAAACUUCUGCAUCAAGCACCGGCAUCCACUGGACCAUGAUUGCUCUGGGGAGGGGCACCCAACCAGCCGGGCAGGACUUGCUGCCAUCUCCAGAGCACAAGCUGUGGCUUCUACAAGCACUGUCCCCAGCCCAAGUCGAACCAUGCCUUCCUGUACCUCUCCCAGCAGGUAGGCCUGCCCGUUUCCCUGCUCCCCCUUUUUCCCCUUCACACCUCUGACCUCCACCUCUUCAAUGUCUGUCGUAGAGCCACAACCCGAUCUCCGUCCUGGACAGCCCCUCCAGUGAUUGCUUUGCAGAAUGGCCUGAGUGAGGAUGAAGCUCUGCAGCGGGCCCUGGAAAUGUCCCUGGCAGAGACCAAACCCCAGGUUCCAAGGUACCUUACCCUCUUGUGAAAGAGAGCGCAAGCUGUGGGCAAGGGCUUGGUCUGGAGGCAGGUAGGUGGGACCACUCUGACACAAUGCAAGAUAAUCACUGCCAACUUGGUCUCAAAAUUAAGAUGAACUAUAUGAUCUUUGACAAGUUAUUUAACCCAUGGAGCCUUCAUUUCCUCUAUAAAACGGGGACAAUACUAAUACCCACCUUGUAGUGUUGCUAUGAAGAUUGAGAUAA